GAUGAAGAACGCAGCGAAAUGCGAUAAGUAAUGUGAAUUGCAGAAUUCAGUGAAUCAUCGAAUCUUUGAACGCACAUUGCGCCCCCUGGUAUUCCGGGGGGCAUGCCUGUUCGAGCGUCAUUUCACCACUCAAGCCUCGCUUGGUAUUGGGCAACGCGGUCCGCCGCGUGCCUCAAAUCGACCGGCUGGGUCUUCUGUCCCCUAAGCGUUGUGGAAACUAUUCGCUAAAGGGUGUUCGGGAGGCUACGCCGUAAAACAACCCCAUUUCUAAGGUUGACCUCGGAUCAGGUAGGGAUGCCCGCUGAACUUAAGCAUAUCAAUAAGCGGAGGA
Molecule: unclassified non-coding RNA, 331 nt
Filed under: soil metagenome
Description: partial contains 5.8S ribosomal RNA, internal transcribed spacer 2, and large subunit ribosomal RNA
Rfam family: 5.8S ribosomal RNA (bases 1-120)
Source: RNAcentral